RNAcentral lists this ribosomal RNA (253 nucleotides) under uncultured bacterium. RNAcentral's name for it is "partial 16S ribosomal RNA". It matches the Rfam family "Bacterial small subunit ribosomal RNA", at positions 524 to 776 of the family's 1533-position model. The record is from RNAcentral.
UACGUAGGGUGCGAGCGUUAAUCGGAAUUACUGGGCGUAAAGCGUGCGCAGGCGGUUCGUCGUGUCUGAUGUGAAAGCCCCGGGCUCAACCUGGGAAUGGCAUUGGAAACUGGCGGACUAGAGUGUGGCAGAGGGGGGUGGAAUGCCACGUGUAGCAGUGAAAUGCGUAGAUAUGUGGCGGAACACCGAUGGCGAAGGCAGCCCCCUGGGCUGAGAUUGACGCUCAGGCACGAAAGCGUGGGGAGCAAACAGG